Molecule: ribosomal RNA, 369 nt
Filed under: uncultured phototrophic eukaryote
Lineage: Eukaryota
Description: SSU rRNA
Rfam family: Bacterial small subunit ribosomal RNA
Source: RNAcentral
UACGGGGGAUGCAAGCGUUAUCCGGAUUUAUUGGGCGUAAAGCGCCUGUAGGUUGUUUAAUAAGUCUGUUGUUAAAGACUAGGGCUUAACCCUAGGAAAGCAAUGGAAACUACUAGACUUGAGUAUGAUAGGGGUAGAGGGAAUUUCUAGUGUAGCGGUGAAAUGCGUAGAUAUUAGAAAGAACACCGGUGGCGAAGGCGCUCUACUGGAUCAUUACUGACGCUCAGAGGCGAAAGCUAGGGUAGCAAAAGGGAUUAGAUACCCCUGUAGUCCUAGCCGUAAACGAUGGAUACUACAUGUUGCGUUUUUAAUGCAGUAUGGUAGCUAACGCGUUAAGUAUCCCGCCUGGGGAGUACGGUCGCAAGGCUG